Long non-coding RNA from Cucumis melo (muskmelon), 821 nucleotides. RefSeq lists it as uncharacterized. The transcript is spliced from 2 exons. The record is from RefSeq and is a predicted model, not a curated record. Lineage: Eukaryota; Viridiplantae; Streptophyta; Magnoliopsida; Cucurbitales; Cucurbitaceae.
UUCACCAGAUGUCAAAAAGUUUAGAGAUAAGUAGCAUGCAACCUCUUUUUUUUUAUAUAUUACAAAUAUGGUAAAUAAUUUAUAAUUAAAUUUCAUUAAUUUCAUUAAUUUUUUACUUUCAUCCCUUUAUUGCAUUCAUUAUUUUCAAAAUGACAAAUUUACCCUCUUCCCACUUUUCCUUUUUCCCCUCCAUCAUCUCCAUCCAUUUCAAGAAUUCUCCAUGGAAUCAAAAGCUUCAUACUAUACUUUCCAAAAGCUCCUCCAUUGUUCAUCAAUCUUGAGCUCUACGAGCUGGAUUCCUCCACUUACCUCGCAAAAGGCAUAAGACUGCUCUCCCUUAACCGCACUCAAAAGAACAUGCUUCUGAUUUUGUUGCCAAAGAUCUACGCACCAAGCGAGUCUUCUCCCCCAAUUUACAGAAUCGCUCCUCGGUGUCAUCUAGAGAACUGAUUAACGAUAGAGAAGGACUACUAACCCCAAAUCAAACUUGUUCGAAUGAAGAUAAUGGAGUCGUCAAUGCACACAUGUUGAAUGUAAUUUGGUAUUGACGAUGUAAUGGAAAGAGUGAGGAAUCAGUGCACUCUACUCCUCCUGAUGUGGAUAUUCUGAUCGGGGGUUUUGUGUCGGCUUCUUCAAGUGGUUGUCCUCAAUAAAUUUUGAGUUGGCAACUUUGUCGAGAUCAAAGAGAAAUUAGAAGAGUAAAGCCACAUCAAACCGACAAGAACAUGUAAAUUAAAUUUGAUUUCACUAAUCAAAGAACAUGUAAAUUUGCUUCUAUUUGAACAAUUACAUUGUUGUAUAUCAAAGAUAUAGUUGUUAUU